RNAcentral lists this ribosomal RNA (497 nucleotides) under uncultured bacterium. RNAcentral describes it as "partial 16S ribosomal RNA". It matches the Rfam family "Bacterial small subunit ribosomal RNA", at positions 28 to 507 of the family's 1533-position model. The record is from RNAcentral.
GACGAACGCUGGCGGCGUGCCUAAUACAUGCAAGUUGAGCGAUGAAGAUUGGUGCUUGCCCCAAUUUGAAGAGCAGCGAACGGGUGAGUAACGCGUGGGGAAUCUGCCUUUGAGCGGGGGACAACAUUUGGAAACGAAUGCUAAUACCGCAUAAUAACUUUAAACAUAAGUUUUAAGUUUGAAAGAUGCAAUUGCAUCACUCAAAGAUGAUCCCGCGUUGUAUUAGCUAGUUGGUGAGGUAAAGGCUCACCAGGGCGAUGAUACAUAGCCGACCUGAGAGGGUGAUCGGCCACAUUGGGACUGAGACACGGCCCAAACUCCUACGGGAGGCAGCAGUAGGGAAUCUUCGGCAAUGGACGAAAGUCUGACCGAGCAACGCCGCGUGAGUGAAGAAGGUUUUCGGAUCGUAAAACUCUGUUGGUGGAGAAGAACGUUGGUGAGAGUGGAAAGCUCAUAAAGUGACGGUAACUACCCAGAAAGGGACGGCUAACUACGUG